RNAcentral lists this ribosomal RNA (497 nucleotides) under uncultured bacterium. RNAcentral's name for it is "partial 16S ribosomal RNA". It matches the Rfam family "Bacterial small subunit ribosomal RNA", at positions 28 to 507 of the family's 1533-position model. The record is from RNAcentral.
GAUGAACGCUGGCGGCGUGCCUAAUACAUGCAAGUCGAGCGAACAGACGAGGAGCUUGCUCCUCUUACGUUAGCGGCGGACGGGUGAGUAACACGUGGAUAACCGACCUAUAAGACUGGGAUAACUUCGGGAAACCGGAUCUAAUACCGGAUAAUAUAUUGAACCGCAUGGUUCAAUAGUGAAAGACGGUUUUGCUGUCACUUAUAGAUGUAUCCGCGCCGCAUUAGCUAGUUGGUAAGGUAACGGCUUACCAAGGCGACGAUGCGUAGCCGACCUGAGAGGGUGAUCGGCCACACUGGAACUGAGACACGGUCCAGACUCCUACGGGAGGCAGCAGUAGGGAAUCUUCCGCAAUGGGCGAAAGCCUGACGGAGCAACGCCGCGUGAGUGAUGAAGGUCUUCGGAUCGUAAAACUCUGUUAUUAGGGAAGAACAAAUGUGUAAGUAACUAUGCACGUCUUGACGGUACCUAAUCAGAAAGCCACGGCUAACUACGUG